AUAGGUUUCUGGAUAUAAAAGAACAUUCUAUUAAAAUACUAAUUUAUAGUAGUUUCCCUUAGAUGGGACACAAAACGUCGGUUCAGAAAACAAGCACCAAAUCAAAGUGCUGAUGUGGGGUGAAUACCCCAACACGGAGUGCAAGAAGAAAGAAGCUACAGAGAGCCAGUCCUUUCUUAGCCCUGCACUCCUGCAGAUGAAGCUGCCACUCUUGUCACAUCUGUGCAGUGAGCACAAGGUACAAGAAAUCACAUCACUGGUUUUGAGCCUACACACCCUAAAGGGGAAGUUGCCAGCCUGACAAGUGAAGCAGGGUAGAAAAAUUUCAAAAUGUCCUUGUCACAGAGAAAUGGCUUAAGAUGCAAGAGCUACUGAAAUCACACAAGAAAUCCACAGCAAUGAGGCUUUUGGACUAACCACUGUUUCAACUGGAAAGCUGUGCACAAGAAGAAUGUUUAAAUAAUUGUGACUAUUUCUAGAACAGGAAUAAAAAUAGUCACACAGAAGAGAGACCUGAAGGUUUUGGA
Molecule: long non-coding RNA, 527 nt
Organism: Trachemys scripta elegans
Lineage: Eukaryota; Metazoa; Chordata; Testudines; Emydidae
Exons: 3
Source: RefSeq, a predicted model, not a curated record